UGGAAAUCAUUCGUAGGGUGUAAAGGCACAAGGGAGCUUGACUGCGAGACCUACAAGUCGAGCAGGGACGAAAGUCGGGCUUAGUGAUCCGGUGGUUCCGCAUGGAAGGGCCAUCGCUCAACGGAUAAAAGCUACCCCGGGGAUAACAGGCUUAUCUCCCCCAAGAGUCCACAUCGACGGGGAGGUUUGGCACCUCGAUGUCGGCUCAUCGCAUCCUGGGGCUGUAGUCGGUCCCAAGGGUUGGGCUGUUCGCCCAUUAAAGCGGUACGCGAGCUGGGUUCAGAACGUCGUGAGACAGUUCGGUCCCUAUCCGUCGUGGGCGUAGGAAAUUUGAGAGGAGCUGUCCUUAGUACGAGAGGACCGGGAUGGACACACCGCUGGUGUACCAGUUGUCUUGCCAAAGGCAUCGCUGGGUAGCUAUGUGUGGACGGGAUAAGUGCUGAAAGCAUCUAAGCAUGAAGCCCCCCUCAAGAUGAGAUUUCCCAUAGCGCAAGCUAGUAAGAUCCCUGAAAGAUGAUCAGGUUGAUAGGUCAGAGGUGGAAGCGUGGCGACAUGUGUAGCUGACUGAUACUAAUCGAUCGAGGACUUAACCAAA
This 595-nucleotide ribosomal RNA is filed under the name Priestia megaterium. RNAcentral's name for it is "bacterial LSU rRNA". It matches the Rfam family "Bacterial large subunit ribosomal RNA", at positions 2332 to 2925 of the family's 2925-position model. Lineage: Bacteria; Bacillati; Bacillota; Bacilli; Caryophanales; Bacillaceae. The record is from RNAcentral.